UCCGAUUUGUCACCGGCAGUCUCCCUAGAGUCCCCGGCAUAACCCGUUGGCAACUGGAAGCAGGGGUUGCGCUCGUUGCGGGACUUAACCCUACACCUCACGGCACGAGCUGACGACAGCCAUGCAGCACCUGUGCUGGCUACCCUUGCGGGUUCAUCCCCGUUUCCGGUUCUUACCACCAGCAUGUCAAACCUGGGUAAGGUUCUUCGCGUUGCGUCGAAUUAAACCACAUGCACCACCGCUUGUGCGGGCCCCCGUCAAUUCCUUUGAGUUUCAGCCUUGCGGCCGUACUCCCCAGGCGGGGCACUUAGUGCGUUAGCUACGGCACGGGAGGAGUCGACACCUCCCACACCUAGUGCCCAUCGUUUACGGCGUGGACUAC
This 382-nucleotide unclassified non-coding RNA is filed under the name uncultured bacterium. Its description in RNAcentral is "contains 16S-23S intergenic spacer region". The record is from RNAcentral.